Molecule: ribosomal RNA, 483 nt
Filed under: uncultured soil bacterium
Lineage: Bacteria
Description: bacterial SSU rRNA
Rfam family: Bacterial small subunit ribosomal RNA
Source: RNAcentral
AGAUUGAACGCUGGCGGCAUGCCUUACACAUGCAAGUCGAACGGCAGCACGGGAGCAAUCCUGGUGGCGAGUGGCGAACGGGUGAGUAAUACAUCGGAACGUGCCCAAUCGUGGGGGGAUAACGCAGCGAAAGCUGUGCUAAUACCGCAUAAGAUCUACGGAUGAAAGCAGGGGAUCGCAAGACCUUGCGCGAAUGGAGCGGCCGAUGGCAGAUUAGGUAGUUGGUGAGGUAAAGGCUCACCAAGCCUUCGAUCUGUAGCUGGUCUGAGAGGACGACCAGCCACACUGGGACUGAGACACGGCCCAGGCUCCUACGGGAGGCAGCAGUGGGGAAUUUUGGACAAUGGGGAAACCUGAUCCAGCCAUCCCGCGUGUGCGAUGAAGGCCUUCGGUGUAAGCACUUUGGCAGGAAGAACGGCGUAGCCCGUAAGUACGGACGUCGACUGACGUACUGCAGAAUAAGACACCGGCUAACUACGUACG